RNAcentral lists this ribosomal RNA (525 nucleotides) under uncultured bacterium. RNAcentral's name for it is "bacterial SSU rRNA". It matches the Rfam family "Bacterial small subunit ribosomal RNA", at positions 984 to 1509 of the family's 1533-position model. The record is from RNAcentral.
ACAUCCAGCGAAUUCGGUAGAGAUACCUUAGUGCCUUCGGGAACGCUGAGACAGGUGCUGCAUGGCUGUCGUCAGCUCGUGUUGUGAAAUGUUGGGUUAAGUCCCGCAACGAGCGCAACCCUUAUCCUUUGUUGCUAGCGGUCCGGCCGGGAACUCAAAGGAGACUGCCAGUGAUAAACUGGAGGAAGGUGGGGAUGACGUCAAGUCAUCAUGGCCCUUACGAGUAGGGCUACACACGUGCUACAAUGGCGCAUACAAAGAGAAGCGACCUCGCGAGAGCAAGCGGACCUCAUAAAGUGCGUCGUAGUCCGGAUUGGAGUCUGCAACUCGACUCCAUGAAGUCGGAAUCGCUAGUAAUCGUAGAUCAGAAUGCUACGGUGAAUACGUUCCCGGGCCUUGUACACACCGCCCGUCACACCAUGGGAGUGGGUUGCAAAAGAAGUAGGUAGCUUAACCUUCGGGAGGGCGCUUACCACUUUGUGAUUCAUGACUGGGGUGAAGUCGUAACAAGGUAGGCGUAGCGAG